Molecule: long non-coding RNA, 3697 nt
Filed under: Homo sapiens (human)
Lineage: Eukaryota; Metazoa; Chordata; Mammalia; Primates; Hominidae
Description: long independently transcribed non-coding RNA 1108 (LINC01108)
Source: RNAcentral
GGAGUUGUAUAUUUCCCUAAAGGGUCAAAAAUAGAACAUUUAUUAAACGACGAGUUAUUCAAAAACCGGCACAGGCCCCAGUUGUCUUUCAAAAGCUCUGAUUUACUGCAUAUUUCUCCCUUGAGAAAGGCCUUUUUUAAAUGUUCAUUUCCAUUUUAAGAGACUGUGGGCUUUGAUCUGUUGGGAGCAUUCUUUUUCUUUCCCUGACUGGGGCCUGUCGGCUACUCAGGCCUGUGUUUUUCCAUGGCCUUCCCCAGCAUUCACACGGCAUCUCCUGCAUCUGCGUUCACCCUGGCUAAUUUGGAGGUCAGAACUGGUGAGUCCCUGUAGCAGGUGACACCAAGAACCAAUGAGCCAUAUUUGCUCUUCACACCUCAACAAAGAUGCUGCUUCCAGGAGUGAGUGUUUGUGUAAGUUUCAAAUCCAGCAACCUGAAGAUUCGCCUCCAAUGGCACAGGGCUGGACCGCACUCAGAGGUGGCUGCCACCCAAUCGUCACUCAGCGUUUUAUCGCUGGGCUAUUCUGUUCGAGUGCUAAGCAAUUGUUCACAGAAAUAAGAUAAUGGAAAGAGCAGAGACAGAAUGAGCAAUGGAGAGAGUCGGGCCUACCAUCGCGCUUACUGCUGUUCGUCACAGAUCUGCAAGAACUCUGAACUCAUAGAUUAUGUCCAAACUGAGAAGCACUGGACAGUCAUUUUGCUUAUCUGCGGUUUCUCAUUUCUGAGAAGAAUCUCCAUAUGGACAUUAUCACUUUUGUUAUAAUCUCGAGGAUGGUUAAGGUAGCUUUGAUCGCCACUUUCAUAUCUCCUGUGAUAAUCAGCACCAAUGGAAUGUGCAGAAAUCCAUCCCUAUUCCUAAGGACUCCUGAUGUCAUCUCACCAGGUGGGACGGUUUGUCCUGCUCGAGUCUGCACGCCCAGCUCCAACAGCUUCGCCCAAGUUUGGGGACAGGCUUCACCCAACACCCAGAAUCUGUGCAGUUAUUUGGCCCCUCAUUGAAAAGCCUCUCACGGUUACAGACAAAAUUAACUUGGUCAUCCCUGCAGCGCCGGAGGGAUACUUCUGGACUCUCUGUUUGGGGAGUGUACGCUCAAACCGUUUCAAGAAGAGAUUUAAACCUCUUCUUGGAGAAGACUGAGGCUGGCACAAGGCUAACAAAUCAAAUAACUGCACCGAGGCAAAGCUGCCGUCUCUCCCGGGCUGUACCCUGCCUGCUUCUCCCAUCCCUGCCUUCUGGCCGAUUUGUCUUUAAGGUUUUAGCAUUAUCCCUCUGUUGACAAAUGAAUGCUUUUCUGGAAGAUGAGGUAUUUCCAGAAGCAGGCAGACACUGGCUGGAGCGCCGUAAGAGCUCUGCCUCCCUCGAUUCGUUAUGUGAACGGGAGAGGCCUGGAGGUUUUGCGCGAGCAUUACGUUCAAGGUGAUGAUAAAUGGAGUCUGGCCGGGGUGGUAAUAAGGGAAUUUCUAGCCAGAUCCUGUCUAGACCACGGUUUGUUAUGGAGGGAAAGCCACAAAAGGGGGCUAUAGUACCCCGUUCCUCAGAGAAAUUGUCCUCAGGGAGAGCCAAGCACAUUUCCAGUCCGAACCUUCGUCCGGCCCCUCACUGGGGCCGCUGUAAAUAACAUUAGCCUGUCUUUCAGCAAGCUCUGGGAAGCUUAUAAACCGAACACGGUUUUUGUUGUCUGUAGUUGUGCAUUAAGCUCAGUACUGUCAAGUCUAAUUAUUCUCAUUAAGGCCUGAAAGUUUUAGGGAUUAAUUAAGCAGAGAGCCAAAGCUUAUGCAGAACAGCAAUAUUUUCCCCCUGAAGGAUUAGCCCGUCAUUCUGAUGGGGUUUUCCUUGAGCGUUGCCCAUUACUUUAUAAGAUAGCAAAGUGUGGAGCUCAUAUAAUAUGGAUUAGAAAUCGCCUACAUUUCACAUGUGCUAUUCAGCCAUGAAAAUAAGUCCUGGCCCUUGUGCCUGUAACCCGGAAGGCUCACUAAUGAGAACCAGGCAGUGGGGCUAAUGAGAAAUUCAAUACGUGCCGUCUCUCCUUCCCGUUUCCUUUCAAUUUACUUUCUACAGGAGCCAAUAUGUGUAGGAAAAGUCUGAGUGGAUGCUGGUAUUCUCCUCUUUACCUGGUAGGGAUCUUAGAAAUUAUCUGAUUCUAGUCCUUCUUGCUAUAGAAGUGAAAACUGGGAUUCAGCAACCUGCUUAAAGGGACCCAGUUAAUGGCAAAGCUACUUGAAGAGAAGGUGACAGGAAACUUCAGGAGGUGUAGACAAUCAUUAGGUACAUUAGGAUGGUGAGGGUACUUAGUCUUAGGUUUUGGUGUGAUGGAAAAUGCCGCAGAAAUGAGAAGGUCCCACAAUGAAAGGAGGAUGCUGGUGAGGACCUAAUUUGCAGACGAGCCCCAGGAACUCUGGUGCCCUGCUUGGCAAAGGAUUUCAAGGCUUCCUGGAGAAAUGGGGGUAGGGGGAGGGAUCGUUAAGCCCUGGCACCCCAGAUAUAAAAAGGAAAGUCAGACGUGGGUAAUCACCCUGUCUUCACCCAGCAGCUCCAGUUUUCAGCAAGGCAGAGGGGACACUUCUGCCUUCAGUCUCCCCUACUUCACAUCAAGGCGCCGUUGCAUUUGAUGGCUCGGGACGCGGCCUUCCUGCCUCCCACACUCCCAAAUCCAUGCCUUGUUUAUCUUUUUAGAAUGGAUCUCUGAUGCCUGCCCACCACGCGGCUGGAGUGGCGCCAGCAUCCCCAGGGCACGUCUGUGAUGACCGAUGAGGUCCACCACCUCUACCCCAGACCCUCCCAUACCCAAAGGCUCCCUCUGCCCAGUGAAGUCCCCUUCGCCCCAGCAUUCCUGCACCAGGCACAUCCCAAGGGUGGCCCCGUGUCCUGCAGGUGGCAGGAGAGUGCACCCUCCUCAGACACCAGUCUGAUAUGUCACCAGGAGAGAGCGGGCGGUCCUCAGUGUAUGCUCUUUUCUUGUCUCUGGGGAGCUUGUUUUGGCUCCUCAAGAAGACCUUGGAAAAAGCACAGGUUGUAGAGGCGGCAUUCGCCGGGCAGAACCAUGUCCCAAGACAACUGGUUAGUGAGGCCAGGCGUGACAAUCAUAAUCGGAGCAGCAACUGUGCAAUGGCAUAGGCAAAGGGGGCCGAAGGCGCAGCAGCCACCACCAUUAUAGUCAGACUGGGCACCGUUUCCUAAAUGUCACACAUCCUUCCAGCCCCUUGAUCUUUGCUUAUGAAAAGGGUCAUUCCCUCUACAAUCCUCUAGAACUCUUUGUAGGUUUUUGUUUGUUUUCCAAACACUGUACUUGCUUCUUUAUCUGUCUCUCUAUGAACCGUGAGUCCCAGAGGACCUCGUGGUCCUCAAUUAUCCUUGCUUCUCUGUGGCCUGUGCCAUGGGGCUGAAUGUUUGUAGCCCCCAGAAUCCAUAUGUGGAAGCCCUAAUCCCCACUGUGCUGGUAUUAGGAGGUGGGGCCUUUGGGAUGUGAUUAGGGUUAGAUGAGGGCAUGAGGGUGGGGCCCUCAUAAUGAGAUUAGUGACCUUAUCAAGAGGAUGAGACACUAGAUCCCUUGCUCCCUCUCUGCCUGCAAUCACCAGUGAAAGGCCAAGUGAGGACAUAAUAGAAGCCAUCCCUUCCCAGAACCCAGCCAUGCUGGCACCCUGAUCUCUAGCUUCUCAGCCUCCAGAACUGUGAGAAAUAAAUGUCUGUUGUCUACUCCA